This 550-nucleotide ribosomal RNA is filed under the name Nigrospora sphaerica. RNAcentral's name for it is "eukaryotic LSU rRNA". The stretch from base 195 to 348 matches the Rfam family "5.8S ribosomal RNA". The record is from RNAcentral. Lineage: Eukaryota; Fungi; Ascomycota; Sordariomycetes; Amphisphaeriales; Apiosporaceae.
AACAAGGUCUCCGUUGGUGAACCAGCGGAGGGAUCAUUACAGAGUUAUCCAACUCCCAAACCCAUGUGAACUUAUCUCUUUGUUGCCUCGGCGCAAGCUACCCGGGACCUCGCGCCCCGGGCGGCCCGCCGGCGGACAAACCAAAACUCUUGUUAUCUUAGUUGAUUAUCUGAGUGUCUUAUUUAAUAAGUCAAAACUUUCAACAACGGAUCUCUUGGUUCUGGCAUCGAUGAAGAACGCAGCGAAAUGCGAUAAGUAAUGUGAAUUGCAGAAUUCAGUGAAUCAUCGAAUCUUUGAACGCACAUUGCGCCCAUUAGUAUUCUAGUGGGCAUGCCUGUUCGAGCGUCAUUUCAACCCCUAAGCACAGCUUAUUGUUGGGAACCUACGGCUUCGUAGUUCCUCAAAGACAUUGGCGGAGUGGCAGUGGUCCUCUGAGCGUAGUAAUCUUUUAUCUCGCUUCUGUUAGGUGCUGCCCCCCCGGCCGUAAAACCCCCAAUUUUUUCUGGUUGACCUCGGAUCAGGUAGGAAUACCCGCUGAACUUAAGCAUAU